Long non-coding RNA from Cynara cardunculus var. scolymus (artichoke), 891 nucleotides. RefSeq lists it as uncharacterized. The transcript has 4 exons. NCBI's taxonomy places the organism in Eukaryota, Viridiplantae, Streptophyta, Magnoliopsida, Asterales, Asteraceae. The record is from RefSeq and is a predicted model, not a curated record.
AGGAACCACCCAAAAACGGAUGCUUCAUAAGUUGCUUUCUUGCUUCAGUCCUCUUCUUCCUUAUUUCAUGUAUCUCCCUGCGUCAAAACUGGUUUCGGUAGGUUCAGAUGUUGUUUUCUUCCCUCACAGUCUUCAGACGUUGCUUUGAUGUAUCACCUAGAACAGAGUUUCUUCCUUCAAUCUUCACGUGACCGAUUUGAUCCCUUAAUUAUCGCUCCAUAUAACUCCCUCUUUGUGGUUUGAUUUCUCUACCAUCUCUUCAAAACCCUAAAGAUUUCUCUGAGCUGAAGAUUUUUCAGACGUGAUUUUGAUUCCUCCGUUGAUUCCAACGAGGUACGCUGAUAUUGGGUUGCUGGAAGUAUUAGGUUCCGCUUUCUAUUCAACCAUAGAUACUGAACUCAUUAUCCUGUUUACUUGUCAUCAUCAGAGGUUCUUCUAGCAAUUCCUCCGAAUCCCAGUUUGUUGACUGAGUUUGAUUGCACAUGCCUUAAGUUUGAUUGCACAGUCCAGACUUCAGACAACCAAUUUUCAAGGUAAAUCAUGCCUUUUUGUUCAUUGAACCUCUUGACUUCUGGAAAUCCAUCUAUACGGUACUGAGUGAUCUGCAUAUCUACUUCUUUUGUUUUCUCUUUGUUUUUCUGCAUAACGGUCUUUACUUGGAGCGUUGCAGUCGGCUUUCAUAGACACAUGUAUCAUUUUCUGCAUAACGGUCUUUUGUUUUCUCUUUGUUUUUCUGCAUAAUGUCUCCUUGAUAAAGCUGGACCAAAGUGAAGAUUGCAUCCAAAACAACUUUAUUUGCACAGUAGGUGCUUGCAAAUGCAGUUUGGUUUGAGUCGAUAUUAAAAAAUAGAGCCAAAUUAGGCUCUACGUCCAUAUAUGUCUAAACGUCGU